AAAUACAGUGGGAGGGGAAGGGUAGAGUAGAGGGGAGGGGACUAGAGAGAAGCCAGAAUGGUCUCUAUAGCAACAGGAAAGCUAAACCAUGGUUGGAAGGAGGGGGAAGCUGUGAUCUAGUUAAAAAAAUAAAAAACCAGGAGGGCAGGACCAGGGAGGCAAUGGCACAAACAGACAGAUGGCUAACAUGUUUUGCCUACCCAUAAUUACCCUUUAGGAAUUAUGACAGGAACAAUGAGAGCUGGGCAGGAGGAGAGCAGUGAAAAUAAUUCAAUAUCGAUAACUCUAUUCUAGAACUAAUCUAUUUCCUCUAGAGGGAGAAAAUGUCAACAUACGUUAAAGUGGUAGGACGCAGAAUACACUACUUCAGAUUCUUGUUCCUCAAAAUGGGACUCCAAGGCUGGCAAUAUCAUCAUCUGGAGUUUGUUGAAAACUCAGAAUCCCACCCUAGACCUGCUGAAUCAGAACCUGCAUCUUAUCCUGGGCUCUGGGAGAAGAUAAACUCUGGGUCACAGCUGUAAAGGAAAAGUGCUCUCAAAUUGGAAGCAUUUCCAGGAUUUAGAACCAAGACAGCAAAUCAUCUCAUCCAGCUGACAAGUGACUGGAGUACUGAGGGCAGAGAAGGUGGGAGUUAGUUGUGGAGACCUGCAGUCUGGUUAUGUUUGCAGAGACACCAUAAAAGGGUGGCACCAGCAGCUUAGGGUGCGAGUUGGGAACCAGUCCUGGCCGGACGCCCUUCCAUCACAGGCAGCCAACCUUGCCGGGACUGCGACAGCUGAGACAGGCCAGUGAAGCCAAGUUUUCUGACUUGGAGAAGUGGAUCAAGUCAUCGUUAUACAUGUCCUGGGUGUUGAGCAAGUCACUAUAUUCCUUCUGGCUGAGAUCUUCGGGGUUGAUCCCAUUGGCCCUGAGGAACUCCUGGUACGCCACACUGAAGGCCUGCCCGAUGGACUGUGCAAUCAGCUGUGCCUGCAGAGCAGACAGGACAGGUCAGCUGGGAAGCGCUGCCUCUGGGUGGCCUGGGGGCCUACCAGGACCACAGAGCUGGAGGGUCAGGCCAGUGGGUCUACACACGCACUAAUGCCAGCCAGAGGUCAUUUUUAGAAUCACUGGGGACAUUUUUGUUAUGAUGAAGAUCUUAAGGGAGCUCCUUCCAGUUGGGGAAGCAGAGGUGCAGGGCUCACUGCCAUGCAAAGGCCAGUCCUACCCCAUGGUGAGCCCAUCUGCCCCCUGCACAAUUUCCCAAUAUCCUAUUGCAGGUUCACGUUCCUGGAUGUGCAUGUCUAGUUAUGAGUCCAAGACUCAGUUCUAAUUUAUACGAAAACACCAGUCAAUUUCACAGCUCUAAUAGGCAUUGAACUUCCAAGACUACUACUGCCAUGUAAACAGAGAGAAGCUGAUAUGUGGUUGGGUCCAGCACUUUACCAGGAGGAAGUUUCCAGCCCUUUGGAAAAUGCCAGCAUCACUGCUGUUCAUGGUACCUGGGCUGUCAAUAAAUCACAGCACUACC
Long non-coding RNA from Talpa occidentalis (Iberian mole), 1510 nucleotides. RefSeq lists it as uncharacterized. The transcript has 5 exons. The record is from RefSeq and is a predicted model, not a curated record. NCBI's taxonomy places the organism in Eukaryota, Metazoa, Chordata, Mammalia, Eulipotyphla, Talpidae.